ACUCCUACGGGAGGCAGCAGUGGGGAAUAUUGCACAAUGGGGGAAACCCUGAUGCAGCCAUGCCGCGUGUGUGAAGAAGGCCUUCGGGUUGUAAAGCACUUUCAGUCGUGAGGAAGGUAGUGUAGUUAAUAGCUGCAUUAUUUGACGUUAGCGACAGAAGAAGCACCGGCUAACUCCGUGCCAGCAGCCGCGGUAAUACGGAGGGUGCGAGCGUUAAUCGGAAUUACUGGGCGUAAAGCGCAUGCAGGUGGUUUGUUAAGUCAGAUGUGAAAGCCCGGGGCUCAACCUCGGAAUAGCAUUUGAAACUGGCAGACUAGAGUACUGUAGAGGGGGGUAGAAUUUCAGGUGUAGCGGUGAAAUGCGUAGAGAUCUGAAGGAAUACCAGUGGCGAAGGCGGCCCCUGGACAAGACUGACGCUCAGAUGCGAAAGCGU
RNAcentral lists this ribosomal RNA (433 nucleotides) under uncultured bacterium. Its description in RNAcentral is "bacterial SSU rRNA". It matches the Rfam family "Bacterial small subunit ribosomal RNA", at positions 335 to 762 of the family's 1533-position model. The record is from RNAcentral.